AGCGAACGCUGGCGGCAGGCCUAACACAUGCAAGUCGAACGGAUCCUUCGGGAUUAGUGGCGGACGGGUGAGUAACACGUGGGAACGUGCCCUUUGGUUCGGAACAACUCAGGGAAACUUGAGCUAAUACCGGGUGUGCCCUUCGGGGGAAAGAUUUAUCGCCAUUGGAGCGGCCCGCGUCUGAUUAGCUAGUUGGUGAGGUAAAGGCUCACCAAGGCGACGAUCAGUAGCUGGUCUGAGAGGAUGAUCAGCCACAUUGGGACUGAGACACGGCCCAAGCUCCUACGGGAGGCAGCAGUGGGGAAUCUUGCGCAAUGGGCGAAAGCCUGACGCAGCCAUGCCGCGUGAAUGAUGAAGGUCUUAGGAUUGUAAAAUUCUUUCACCGGGGACGAUAAUGACGGUACCUGGAGAAGAAGCCCCGGCUAACUUCGUGCCAGCAGCCGCAGUAA
This 449-nucleotide ribosomal RNA is filed under the name uncultured bacterium. RNAcentral describes it as "partial 16S ribosomal RNA". It matches the Rfam family "Bacterial small subunit ribosomal RNA", at positions 29 to 523 of the family's 1533-position model. The record is from RNAcentral.